UACAGAGGGGGCAAGCGUUAUUCGGAAUUAUUGGGCGUAAAGGGCGCGUAGGCGGCCUGGCAAGUGGAAGGUGAAAUCCCUCGGCUUAACCGAGGAACUGCCUUCCAAACUGCUUGGCUUGAGUCCGGGAGAGGUGAGUGGAAUUCCCAGUGUAGCGGUGAAAUGCGUAGAUAUUGGGAGGAACACCAGUGGCGAGGGCGGCUCACUGGACCGGAACUGACGCUGAUGCGCGAAAGCGUGGGGAGCAAACGGG
Molecule: ribosomal RNA, 253 nt
Filed under: uncultured bacterium
Lineage: Bacteria
Description: partial 16S ribosomal RNA
Rfam family: Bacterial small subunit ribosomal RNA
Source: RNAcentral